GCUCGGGUGGUGAAAUUGGUAGACACGCAUGGUUGAGGGCCAUGUGGCCUUUAGGCUGUGCUGGUUCAAGUCCAGUCCCGAGCACCA
This 87-nucleotide transfer RNA is filed under the name Halobacteriovoraceae bacterium. RNAcentral's name for it is "tRNA-Leu". It matches the Rfam family "tRNA". Rfam says of the family: Transfer RNA (tRNA) molecules are approximately 80 nucleotides in length. Their secondary structure includes four short double-helical elements and three loops (D, anti-codon, and T loops). Further hydrogen bonds mediate the characteristic L-shaped molecular structure. tRNAs have two regions of fundamental functional importance: the anti-codon, which is responsible for specific mRNA codon recognition, and the 3' end, to which the tRNAs corresponding amino acid is attached (by aminoacyl-tRNA synthetases). tRNAs cope with the degeneracy of the genetic code in two manners: having more than one tRNA (with a specific anti-codon) for a particular amino acid; and 'wobble' base-pairing, i.e. permitting non-standard base-pairing at the 3rd anti-codon position. RNAcentral also lists the same sequence under 2 other names. Lineage: Bacteria; Pseudomonadati; Bdellovibrionota; Bacteriovoracia; Bacteriovoracales; Halobacteriovoraceae. The record is from RNAcentral.